GUGAAUGUUUUUACCAUGUUAAUCACCUGUUCCCAUUUGAAUGCAGAAGUUAAGCAGCAUUGAGCUUGGUUAAUACUUGGAUGGAUGACCUGAGAAUUGCAGAUGUUUCUCAUC
RNAcentral lists this ribosomal RNA (114 nucleotides) under Strigamia maritima. Lineage: Eukaryota; Metazoa; Arthropoda; Chilopoda; Geophilomorpha; Linotaeniidae. The record is from RNAcentral.